This 440-nucleotide ribosomal RNA is filed under the name uncultured bacterium. RNAcentral's name for it is "partial 16S ribosomal RNA". It matches the Rfam family "Bacterial small subunit ribosomal RNA", at positions 338 to 795 of the family's 1533-position model. The record is from RNAcentral.
CCUACGGGAGGCAGCAGUGGGGAAUCUUAGACAAUGGGGGCAACCCUGAUCUAGCCAUGCCGCGUGAGUGAUGAAGGCCUUAGGGUUGUAAAGCUCUUUCAGCUGGGAAGAUAAUGACGGUACCAGCAGAAGAAGCCCCGGCUAACUCCGUGCCAGCAGCCGCGGUAAUACGGAGGGGGCUAGCGUUGUUCGGAAUUACUGGGCGUAAAGCGCACGUAGGCGGACCGGAAAGUCAGAGGUGAAAUCCCAGGGCUCAACCUUGGAACUGCCUUUGAAACUAUCGGUCUGGAGUUCGAGAGAGGUGAGUGGAAUUCCGAGUGUAGAGGUGAAAUUCGUAGAUAUUCGGAGGAACACCAGUGGCGAAGGCGGCUCACUGGCUCGAUACUGACGCUGAGGUGCGAAAGCGUGGGGAGCAAACAGGAUUAGAUACCCGAGUAGUC